GGGGGCAUAGCUCAGUAGGAGAGUACUUGCCUUUCAUGCACAAGGCCCUGGACUUAAUCCCUGGUGCCUCCA
RNAcentral lists this transfer RNA (72 nucleotides) under Cricetulus griseus (Chinese hamster). It matches the Rfam family "tRNA". Rfam says of the family: Transfer RNA (tRNA) molecules are approximately 80 nucleotides in length. Their secondary structure includes four short double-helical elements and three loops (D, anti-codon, and T loops). Further hydrogen bonds mediate the characteristic L-shaped molecular structure. tRNAs have two regions of fundamental functional importance: the anti-codon, which is responsible for specific mRNA codon recognition, and the 3' end, to which the tRNAs corresponding amino acid is attached (by aminoacyl-tRNA synthetases). tRNAs cope with the degeneracy of the genetic code in two manners: having more than one tRNA (with a specific anti-codon) for a particular amino acid; and 'wobble' base-pairing, i.e. permitting non-standard base-pairing at the 3rd anti-codon position. Lineage: Eukaryota; Metazoa; Chordata; Mammalia; Rodentia; Cricetidae. The record is from Rfam by way of RNAcentral.